RNAcentral lists this transfer RNA (94 nucleotides) under Candidatus Aminicenantes bacterium RBG_16_66_30. RNAcentral's name for it is "tRNA-Ser". It matches the Rfam family "tRNA". From Rfam's summary of the family: Transfer RNA (tRNA) molecules are approximately 80 nucleotides in length. The record is from RNAcentral. RNAcentral also lists the same sequence under 2 other names. Lineage: Bacteria; Candidatus Aminicenantota.
GGAGAGGUGCUGGAGUGGUCGAUCAGGAACGCCUGCUAAGCGUUUGCCCUGGCUCAAACUGGGGCCGCGGGUUCGAAUCCCGCCCUCUCCGCCA